This 140-nucleotide ribosomal RNA is filed under the name Panaeolus foenisecii. RNAcentral's name for it is "partial 25S large subunit ribosomal RNA". It matches the Rfam family "Eukaryotic large subunit ribosomal RNA", at positions 2456 to 2599 of the family's 3401-position model. The record is from RNAcentral. RNAcentral also lists the same sequence under 3 other names. Lineage: Eukaryota; Fungi; Basidiomycota; Agaricomycetes; Agaricales.
GGGUGUAGAAUAAGUGGGAGCUUCGGCGCCGUUGAAAUACCACUACCUUUAUUGUCUUUUUACUUAUUCAAUGAGGCGGAGCUGGGAUUAAUAGUCCCACCUUUUGGCUUCAAGGUCUUUUACAGGCCGAUCCGGGUUGA